Molecule: long non-coding RNA, 1190 nt
Filed under: Toxoplasma gondii VEG
Lineage: Eukaryota; Apicomplexa; Conoidasida; Eucoccidiorida; Sarcocystidae
Source: RNAcentral
CAGCUUCAUGUGGAACCGCCACAGAUAGCAAACGCGGCGACUGGCAGCACACCUUGUCUCAACUCCUAGUAGAGGUGCGGUGCCUCGUGAGUAAAUCUUCCGGUCCCACAAGGUGUAUUCCAAGAAAGGAGAGUCGAACACCUCCUGUGCUUCCUACAAUGGUUCAGAAUUUGAGGAGAUUCGUCAAUAUGCGUCUCGGUGCCACUACCUAAAUGAAGCGAGGCAGCACCUGUUGUGGCCGUGGUUCGACGAAUUUCAGACUGGUUGAUACAGAAAGAUUAUCGCCUCAUACGCAGUUCGCUGAAGGGGGAAAGGGGGGCAAAAACACGCCAAAACGUUAGUCCGGUGAUGUGUUCUCGUCUUUUGUGGGGAGCUGUGCGUGAGCUGUGUGUGGUGAACGGCAGUGUUCCGCGGGUGUGUUGCCAAGAAUCCAGCACGUUGUGUGACCCGUAUGUGGCGCUGGUCUUUACAGUAUAGAAUAGCCAACGAAUCUAGUGCUCGAGCCUGUCAUACUGGGUGGAUCUCAUGAAGAUGGAGGUACACAUAUUACUUGUAGUCAUUCGCUGGAAACGUGGCGGUAAAGAUACUCGUAGGCAGAACCAGAAGAUCAAUACUGAUUUUCAGCGUGUGAUGUCUCCAUUGUUGAUUUCUUGUCGAGAGGACACAUUCGAAGGCCAGUAGGGCUCUCCACAGUGACUUCGGUCACGACAGGUUCAAGAGUACACCACAGGAAAUAGCAUGUCUGGUAGUCUUUGUGUGACAUCAAGUAUUUUAACGUAGACGCGUCGAAACACCACACUCGAAAGCCUAUGACUGAUGCUUUCUCUUUGCAAAGUCUUUUUUGACAGCCAUAAGAAAUAGUUUCGCGUUGGAUUCGGUGAACUGUGUGUGGACACGUCUCGAAUGGACCAAUGCUACAGGUCCAGAGCACGGACGCUGUGGGAGACAAAACGAUGAAGAAGCACGGACCCGCAUUUGACCAGUGACAUAUAUCCCUACACGCAGGGAACAUUGAAUCAAACGACUGCUCACGGUCCUUUCUGAACUGCUUUGUUGAGACAGAAGAGGGGUCGUGCCGAUUUAGCAACAUCUGAUCUCGUUCCGUGUGUCACUCAUUUGUAAAGGAAAUGCAGCGGCUAAAUAGCGGAAGUGGUUGUUACUGAGAACGCCGCUGGAUUUCGGUACCCAGG